UACGGAGGGGGCUAGCGUUGUUCGGAAUUACUGGGCGUAAAGCGCACGUAGGCGGCUUUGUAAGUUAGAGGUGAAAGCCCGGGGCUCAACUCCGGAAUUGCCUUUAAGACUGCAUCGCUAGAAUUGUGGAGAGGUAAGUGGAAUUCCGAGUGUAGAGGUGAAAUUCGUAGAUAUUCGGAAGAACACCAGUGGCGAAGGCGACUUACUGGACACAUAUUGACGCUGAGGCGCGAAAGCGUGGGGAGCGAACAGG
RNAcentral lists this ribosomal RNA (253 nucleotides) under uncultured bacterium. RNAcentral's name for it is "partial 16S ribosomal RNA". It matches the Rfam family "Bacterial small subunit ribosomal RNA", at positions 524 to 776 of the family's 1533-position model. The record is from RNAcentral.